UGGAGUGGUGAUCUAAAUGGUUCUAAGAUUCAACUGGCUUUUGACAAUGCUAACAAUAUAGCUAUGACUUUAGAUUCCUGUUAUUUCUCCUUGAAUCAAGAAUAAGUACGUGCAAGAUGAGGAAUACCAAAGUUGCCCUACUCAUAAAUGUUGAUCAGUGAAGCUGUGUCACCCAAGGCUGAUAUAAUUUCAUGAACAAGUUCUUUCUAGGGAAUAGACUCUUUCUUUUUAGGAGAACCGGAAUUCUCAAAGGAUGCUUCAACUAUUUGAUUUGGCCCCAGAACUUCUCUAUUGGCUUAUGAACAUCUUCGAUUGUUUAUUUCAUUUUGCAGGUCGGGUUGGACCAAGAUGAGACAUAGUGUCCCUGAGCUGUUGAUGUGGCUUAAGGUUUCAAGAAGUUUUCUGCUUUAUCAUGAUCAACCAUGCAGCGCUUGUCUCAUGGUUCUUUUACUGCUUGAUUGAUGUAUGUUGGAAUGUUAUUUUAAGUAUACUGUUCUUUUUUAUUAAUAUAAUUGCGUUUUGCAAUGUUUGGGUCUUGAUAUCUAUAUUGAAUGUGAUGGAAUUUGAAUGUUUUCGGUUUCUAGUCCUCCAGAGGUUUUAUGAUAGCGAGUAUGAACAAACCCUUUUAACCACCAACCUGAUUAUGUGUCUAAAACUUUUUGGGUCAAGGAUGGCAAUAAUGUUGUGUUAAACCGAACUUUCCACAAUGAUAUUUUAGUUCAUCCCCCCUCUUGUCUGUGUUAUAUCUAGAUUCUAUAGACAAGUUACAUGCAACAUACUUUGAUGUGGUCAACCAUAGGCUCCCUUUUAUUUUAUCAUAUUUAAUCAUAUGGUGGGGCACAUUAUACCCAAAACAAAUGCAGGUAUUCAAUUGAAAUCAUUUGGAGCAUUGAGAUACAGUUUUGCAAGGUUGAAUUUCUCUUGUGUUAAUGAAGGUAUGCAGUCAGAUUCUGAUGCUCUGCGGUUCAGAGCAUAUCUGUUUUUAAUCCAUAUAGUUACUUUUGAGAGUAAUGGGAGUUGCUUUCUUUUGCCAUUUUUUUCCUAUCAUCAUCUGGCUUCUUAUGCUGCCUGCAUUUUUUCCCAUUUUUUCUUUCCUCCUUUUUUUCCCUUUUCCCGAGAAAUUGUCAUGGUUAGGUAAAGCUUCUCAAUAAGGUUGAGUGAACCUGGAUGUUGCUGCAGUGAGUUGCAUCGUGUUGCAUUUGAGCACAUUGGCUGAGUUACAGUCUUUACUUAAGUAGAUGGUGAAAAGCAAAUGUUGAUUUCAACAGGUAAAUUCUCCAUGAGACUGCUGGGUUGUUCCUCAAUUUUUGCAGGAUCCCAAAUAAAAUUUGUUUGUAUAGUUGCCACAGUGUUAACUUAAUCUUGUGCUUCAUUUAGUUUUUAGUUGUCCUUGCUCAAAUCAAUAUUUCCAUGUUUCCCUCACCACAGUUAUGUACAGGCUGGCUGAUUUUCAGUGUCAUUUUAUGGAUUAUGUUCAGUUUUCCAUGUGUUGAUUUUAUACUGUCACGGAACAAGGAUUUUGGUUUUGAAAGAUGAACUUGUUGGCUGUUGCAUUGAAAGGUUGAGGAGAACUUUCUGCUUUUGCCUUUCUUUAAAAAGACACGAUUGAAUGUGUUUGGUGGUUAUGAAUCUCACCCAUAAAGCUUUUCUCUUUUUUCCUUUUUUUUCCUUUCCUCUUCCCCCUUCUUCUGCAUAGGUUGGAAAGAGCCUCUUUAUCUGCGUAAGGAAGACUGCAGUCACCAAUGAAGCCUGCAAGUGUAUGCCGUGCUAUGUUGCUAUUACCAUAAAAUAGAUCUAUCUGUUCAUGGUCUCCAUAGUCUGUAGUUUGGCGCAGGAAAAGUACACACUUUUAUAAGUUAUCAUGUACAAAUAGAAUUAUACUACUGUGUAUCCGAAGGAUGGUAAAAUAAUUAUUCAAGUACAAUUGGUGCAAAAAAUAAGAAAAAAUGGCGAGUGUUCCCAUUUAGUGGGGUCUAGGGAUGGUAGAUGUACGCAGCCCUAUCAUACGACACAUUAUACCUU
This 2022-nucleotide long non-coding RNA is filed under the name Lupinus mutabilis. RNAcentral's name for it is "partial ncRNA". The record is from RNAcentral. Lineage: Eukaryota; Viridiplantae; Streptophyta; Magnoliopsida; Fabales; Fabaceae.